AGAACAUCCGGGCGCUUUUGAUUGAUUCGACUCUUCCGUUCUGUUCUUUUCACUUCUUCCUUUUUUGUGCAUUUGUUACAGUACAUCCAGGGGGGAUUCAAAGUGCAUUGCCUCAGCCGGACACACACACCAAAACCACUACUAACAUUCAUUUCUUUCCUAUUAAUUCUGAAGGACUGACUAAGCCAAGCAGCAGCUUCAUUUUGACACAU
This 212-nucleotide non-coding RNA is filed under the name Chromera velia. Lineage: Eukaryota; Chromeraceae. The record is from RNAcentral.